Armigeres subalbatus is the source of this 839-nucleotide long non-coding RNA. RefSeq lists it as uncharacterized. The record is from RefSeq and is a predicted model, not a curated record. NCBI's taxonomy places the organism in Eukaryota, Metazoa, Arthropoda, Insecta, Diptera, Culicidae. The transcript has 4 exons.
AUAUAUGGGUAAAUUAGGUUACCCAUAUAUGGGUGAAAAAAUGUAAGCGUUAUUGUUCGACUCAGCCUCUAUUUGACUGAAAGUUGAAAGCCAUUUGUGGUUCCAAAGAAACAAGUAUCGGUCGACUGGCCCAACAUUAAAAAUAAUCAAAACCACGAACACAGCCGCAUCUUCCGGAGCCCCGGGGCACCAAAUCAACGAUGGAGUGCAUAAGCCAAUCGCCUAGUCAGAAACCGCUGUAUGCCUCUAGCAUGGGACACGAUAAGGCAAAAGCUCGUUUAACUGGUCCUGGAACAUUGAAGGAUUUAAAUAGUUGCCGGGAUACAGAUCGACCCGAACGGUAUGGACAGCCAUCGAAGUCCGCUCCGUUACAGCAAAUGCCUCAAGUGGGAGAGAGAUCACAGGAUCGGCUUCUGCGACUACCACAAAGUAUGAAAUCCAAUUAUUAUCCUAAACAAAAAACAAUCUAAUCUCUUGUGAGCUGAAACUUCCGGACUUCCUGUGAGCUAAAAUAAUAAGUGCAGAAGGAAACCACCGUGUCGGUGUGCAACGUACCCUACCCUUCACAUCAACAGAUACCUACAACCUACGCCCACAUCACCCAAAGAUAUUUUUACCUCAGCAAACGGAUUCGUCGUAUCAAGCAGGAAUUUCCGAAUCGGACACGACGAUUUUCUACAGGUGUCCCCGUCAGCUCCUUCUCUAUCAAAUAUGGUACUACAAAUCCGAACCAGAUGGGUGGAAGCAUUACCGCUGCACCAUUACAGCAUAUUAUUUUAGAUAAAAGAAUUUAAUAUGUAUUUCAAUAAAUUCCAAUGAUUUGCGUAUUGUUGUUUAAA